Schizosaccharomyces pombe (fission yeast) is the source of this 203-nucleotide non-coding RNA. The record is from the annotation of a GenBank genome assembly. NCBI's taxonomy places the organism in Eukaryota, Fungi, Ascomycota, Schizosaccharomycetes, Schizosaccharomycetales, Schizosaccharomycetaceae.
AACUAAUGAGAUAAAACAUUUAUUACUUAGUUUUAAGAAAUAACAAGAAAAGCUCGAAUGGCUUGGCAAACCAGGAAACGCCUGCGAAUUCCUGAAAUUUUCGUAAUAUUAUUCGUGCCCUUGAUUAGGGAAAUCAUUCAUCUAACAUUUUAGAUAAACAAAAGACAGUGACUAUUCGCCAUCCCUAGUCUUUCACAAGCUCA